AGGAAACAGAUCCUCUUCAGUUUGGGUGCACAGAAACACUUCAUUUGGUUUUGUAACUUCACUUCAAACCUUUCUCUUUGAAACCCUAAUUCCCAAAUCUUCUUCAUGGACUUCUCGAAGAAGCGCAAGACCGAAGAGAACGGCGAUACUGAUUCUCUGUCGUCACCACCCUCCCAAGCAUUCCCCACCGCCACCGUCCCCACAACCGCUCCCCUGGCAGCGGAAGACAUCCGCAAGAUCUUGCGUCCGUUUUCCCAGGAACAGCUCCUCGACCUCCUCCAAUCAGCGUCGCUACGUCACUCCGAUGUCCUCGACGCCGUGCGCACCGUCGCGGACCGCGACUCUACUCUCCGUAAGCUUUUCGUUCGCGGACUUGCCGGCGAAACCACCAGCGAGACCCUGCGCAGCGUGUUCUCCACGUUCGGCGAACUCGACGAGGCCAUCGUGAUCUUCGACAAGGCCACGGGACGCUCCAAGGGCUAUGGCUUCGUGGUCUUUCGCCACGUGGAUGGCGCCAUCCUCGCGCUGAAGGACCCAAGCAAGAAGAUCGAUGGUCGCAUGACGGUAACGCAACUCGCCGCAGCUGGUGGACCUGGGGGCUCCGGCGACGUAUCAGCGAGGAAGGUUUUCGUCGGGAACGUGCCGUUCGAGAUUUCCUCGGAUAAACUACUGAGCGAAUUCCUCAAGUUCGGAGAGGUCGAGGAAGGGCCUCUAGGGUUUGACAAAUCGAGCGGCAAAUCGAGGGGCUUCGCUUUUUUCGUUUAUAAGACGGAGGAAGGUGCGAGGGCUUCGUUGGUGGAACCUGUUAAGACCAUUGAUGGGCACCAAGUGAUUUGCAAAUUGGCUGUGGAUAGCAAAAAGACGAAACCCUUUGGAGGGGAUCAACAUCAGCAUCAACACACGCAGCAUCAGCAGCAACAACAGCAACAUCCGCAGCAACAGAUGCAACAACAAGGUCCUAUGAUGAUACCUCAGUAUGGUGGAUAUGGUGGGAAUGGCUAUGGAAUACAGCACUCGGUGCCACAGUAUAACAAUCCGGUUCAGGUUUCUGGUGGUGGUGGGUAUGGCCACGGAAUUGGUGGUGGAUAUGGUAAUUCGCAGAUGGGUGGACCGGUUUCCGGUGACUACGGAACUAGACUGCCUCCCAAUUCUGGUGGGGGGUUCGCUGAAGGCUCCCAGUAUGGCUACCCUGCUUCUUCCACGCUUCCACCACAGCAGCAAGUGCCUAUGCCGAGACCUCCUCCCGGAGGAAUGUACCAAGGCGUGCCACCCUAUUAUUGAGGUAAUGUUUUUCGUUAUGAAAGCAUAGUAGACUGCUGAUUAGUCCAUACUUCUGUUCAUUGGAUAUAUAAUUUAUAACUGGAUCUGUGUUUUAGCUGAACUUGCAUUAGAUUGUUGAGAAAUGCAAGCACUACACCUUUGAAUGCAGUCUUUAAUAUUGACUUGGAAAUUAUAAAGAAAAAUUUGGUCCUGGAACUUUUUAUUAUUGAGUUUCAUGCUUAAUUCUCUACUUUUCAACAGAAUGUAAAUGAUAAUAGAGUGGGCUACUAGAACUCCUCUAGGUUUUUCUUAAAAGAAAUGGAGUUAUGGUUUUAAAAUGCAAAUGCAGGUUUUUACUUGUAUGUCUGAAUGACUCAUUUAUCUUGCAAUGUGUUUCGCAAAAUUGAUUGCUGGUAUGAAUUGGGUUUAAUUUCUUUUGUACACAUCAUACUUUUCUUUAUGGUCUGUGCAUGUUGAAGUUUAUUUAAUUGUUGAUUGUAAUUAUCAUUCGAGUGAUGGUUAUCUCUUUUGGGCUUUGACAGUUCGUUUUGUUAUUAAAUGUUAAUGAUUGGUUUGAGUUUUGGAUAGGUGUUUCAUUCAGGUUUGUGAUGGCUUCUUGGACGCUAAUGCUUUAAAUGGUUGUGCUGCUUUCGUGCAUGCAGACAAUGAAAUCUUUGGUUUUGGUUACAUGGACCUGUAAUUUGUUGCUGCUUCACUACCUCUGCAUCUAUGUGUUAUGGUUCCAUUUAUGAUGGGUGUUAGUUGAAGCUUACAUGACUUGGCGUAGUACUUGAAUGUAGUACUUAUGUGGAAAUUUUGUAGAAUUUUUUAUUUAUAGUUUUUGCCUAGAUUAUUUCCUAAUUUAUUGACUAAAUGCUAAGGUGGUUACAUUAAAUUUUGAAAUUGUUCUUUAUUGUGGUCUAUAUUCCUUGCAUAUAUUACUCUGGUUGUCAUGGUGACUUUAUGUAUUCUUUUAAUUUCCGAUAACUGCAAGUAUUUAUUUGCGUUGUAUGGUGGCAUUCGUGAUACUUUUGGAUAAUGUUUGAAAUAUCCUUCCGUCAUGGUUUUGUACUAAAUUCAGCAUCAAAUUUAAUGAGUAAAUUAGUUGCCUCAAGUCUUUUAGAGGCUUAUUUGAAUUGUCUUGUUGAGAUGCACAGUUGGUUUGCCCUGAAAUGGAUGGUUGUGAACACCUUUAAAAAUUGCACGAUGACAUAUUUGAGUAUAUUUUGAAAUAUCCUUUCUCUUGUUUAUUUUACUAAAUUCAGCUUCAAUUAAUGACCAAAACAUUUUUCUCAAGCCUUCAUCCACACUGUGUUAAAGAUGAGAUCUGCUAUCGAUUUUACCUAAACUUGUAAAUUGAAAAAUCCCAACUGUGAGAUUGACCACCAUGUUUGUUGUGAAAUCAGAGCUUAAACUUGAUGUGGCAAUUGCAAUGCCGUGCUUUUUCAUGUAUAAAAGGUAAAAGCCUUCUAAUGUUAAAUUUAUAAUGAUUACUUUUAAGCUCCAUUCCACCCACCUAACCUGCUCUGAAAUAAAUAUUAAAGGUAGAAAAGCGAAAGAAUUUAACAAGAUUUUUUUCUUGAGUAAACCACUAAUUUGAUUCUUGAAAUAUUACACUCUCUCGUGAGUGGUUUUUAAAGUAACACAGACUACUAAAGUAAUCCUAGAAGUAUUUUAAAUCAAAGUAAACCCUUUAAGAAGUAUACUUUAGGGAUGGCUUGAAGUUUUAUUACUUUCGGAAUUAUUUGAGAGAGUUUGAGAAUUAAUUGGUGAUUUACUUGUAUUUUAUUUGUUUGUAUCUAUUACGUCAGGUAUGCAGCUUUAUAAUGUUGGCUUAGGUCUUAACUGAACCUCACAAUCAAUUUGUAAGGCAAAUAUUGUCCUGGCUUUGAACUCAAUUUUAGUCUUAUCUUUAUCUAAUUUGAGCCUAAAAUUAUCACCCUUGGGACUACAAAUUCGGCAAUCCUUAAAGAGGUUGCAACUAAAGAGAACUAAGGGUUACUGCAGCUAAGGUAGCUUUCUGGCACAUCCCCUCUCAUCCAAGGCGAUUAGCUUGGAGUGUGGCAAUCAUUUGGCCCAACUAUGGAUAUAGGAUAGACUUCUAUACCUUCUUAAGGUUUUAGGUUAGAGCCUAAUCAACCCUCGUAAAACUUUUUUAUAAGGUGGGAAUUGUCGUAGCCCUAUGUAAGCCCUAUCUCUGGUGGAUUUGAUACUAAACACCAUCCUUGAUUAGGUAUAUUUCAUUUUUUUAUAUUGUGUUAAAAGUGAAGUAUGAAAUCUUAGAAUUUGGACUUAGGACCUAAUUUGAUCUCACAACCUCAUUUAACUACCUUGAAAGGUGAGAAUUGUCCAAACUCUAUUCAAGCUGUAUCUCUUCUUGAUUUGACACUAAACACCACCUUUGAGGCUGCUGUCAUGGAGAAGUUUCAACUAAGAUGGGCUCUUGGUAACUGCAGUUUAGAUAGAUGGCUUUAUAGUAGAAGAUGAAGAGCAUUACAGUGUAAUUGUGUUGGUUGUUUGCCUGAUUUCUCAUUUUGCUGCUGUUGAAUAGUGAAGCUUCAAUUAGGAUCUUGUUACUGCUCUUUCUUAAAUCAGUUUACAUGUUACUGCUAUUUUAUUACUUACUUUCUUUGCUAAAUCAGGCUACUUGUUAAUGCAAUUUUGUUACGUAAAAUGUUUUGUCUCGUCUUGCAAGUGUUUCUCAUGGGAAUAAUAAUUAACUUGCUUUGCUAUAGUUUGGUGUUUAUUUUAUUCAUUUUGAUCUGUCAUGAUCAUGCUUUUGAGCCAAAUAAAUUAUUGUAUGUUUCUUUGGGAAUGUUUCUACGAUGUUUUCUAAUUUUGAUUGCUUGUGUAUCAAAACUUGUGUAUGUCCAUAUGUGCUGCUCUUUCUAAUGAUUUUCGAGGUGAUCCUCCUGGUCGUUUUCGAUUUGAAGUAGUUCGGCCAACACCGCCUUGCUGUUAUCCUUCUGAGGGAAACAUUCGUCUUAGCAUAAGUGUAUGGGACAUGGUUUAAUUUAAUAUAAGUGCUUUUGAUUUA
Molecule: RNA transcript, 4297 nt
Organism: Vigna angularis (adzuki bean)
Lineage: Eukaryota; Viridiplantae; Streptophyta; Magnoliopsida; Fabales; Fabaceae
Gene name: UBP1-associated protein 2C-like
Exons: 2
Source: RefSeq, a predicted model, not a curated record